GGGUUUGGUGUUUGGUGUACAAUACAAGGUGAAUAUCUACGCUGUGGUGGAUAUUAAAGAUUCUCCUGAAGGAGUUGAAAGCAAGGAAUUACAUGAAAAAAUAGUUCAGACUGAAGGAGGUCUGAUUGUGUACAGUGAGGAGUUGGAUGAGGGGUUAUUAUCCCGCCAAGUCAGUGAAGUAGUCACCUAGCCUUUAAAUAAUUCAACCCUAACCUGGCAAACCAACCAGAUGAAUUAUCAUCACAGCUCGUAAUCAUGGUUUAGAAGCUUUAAAAUAGCUUUGAUAUAUUGUAAACAUACAUACAUUACAUACAUACUAUGUAAAAUACCCAACAGUUAUUCUUUUGAUAAACCGACUUCAAGGUUGCUUGAAUAUGGUUGAAACUAUUGAAGUUCAAAAAUAUUUUUUCUUCUUUAUAAUAUUUGAACUAUAGUAUUAGAGUUUGGAUACUAAUAUCUGAACUAUAGUUUCAGAGCUUGGAUACUAAUAUCUGAACUAUAGUUUCAGAGCUUGGAUACUAAUAUCUGAACUAUAGUAUCAGAGUUUGGAUUCUAAUAUAUGAAAUAUAGUUUCAGAGCUUGGAUUCUAAUAUAUGAACUAUAGUAUCAGAGUUUGGAUUCUAAUAUAUGAACUAUAGUUUCAGAGCUCUGAUACUAAUAUCUGAACUAUAGUUUCAGAGCUCUGAUACUAAUAUCUGAACUAUAGUUUCAGAGCUCGGAUACUAAUAUCUGAACUAUAGUUUCAGAGCUCUGAUACUAAUAUCUGAACUAUAGUUUCAGAGCUCGGAUACUAAUAUCUGAACUA
Eurytemora carolleeae is the source of this 805-nucleotide long non-coding RNA. RefSeq lists it as uncharacterized. The transcript has 2 exons. NCBI's taxonomy places the organism in Eukaryota, Metazoa, Arthropoda, Copepoda, Calanoida, Temoridae. The record is from RefSeq and is a predicted model, not a curated record.